UAAUUUAUAAAUUAUAGUUUGAAGAGUUUACACUUUUUAUAUUUAAUUUAUUGAUAUAGCUUUGCAAGAUAAAACAAGCUAAAUUAAAAGUCGUAAGUUGAUAGACAAUAUUGUUAUUGCUGUUAAUAAGGGUAAUGUUACGUUUGUGAAGGAUGACUGAAAUUACUUCUCCAGAUUUAAUUAUCACACAUGUACUUUAGAUUUAUGUUCGUUUUUGACGCCAGAUGUACUGAAAAUAUAGCAGAAUGGUUGUCUUUUUUGUGACUUGAUUCAAAAUAUGUUUAAAUAAACUGUUGAAUUUCUUAAAAAUUUUUAUUAACGUAUACAUAUAUAACUUGUGCAUAUCGUAAUGAACAUUGAAUCUGAUUCUCGUAACUAAUGCCUAAUGAAAAACGAAGUUUUGAGAUAUUGUCUGGUUGGAAGUUGGUGUAAGAAACUUUUAAACAGAUUAAAAGUUCUUACUCACGUGUUUGUUGAUGAAAGGAGUAACUGCAAACUUCAAAUAAGACAUCAAGGGUGACACAUUGACGAUAACAUGGAAGUUUUUCAACCUCCGAAUGUGAAAACCGAACCCAUUUCUGAUGAGGAGAAUGAUUUGUUGGAUGUCACGUUUUUGAAAAAUGAAGCAAAGAAAAUAGCACCUUGUAUAAAGACAGUGUGAAGGACAUUGUCUUUAAGAUGAAGGUACCAAAUAUGGGACUGGUAGCCAAUGCAAACCAUGUAUCGUAUUAGGAAUAAUAUACAUUGAUAACAGAAACUGCUUUCCCAGAAGGAUCUUCAUUUACAGUCUUUGAUUUUAAAAUUAAAAAAAAAGAAAAGUAUGAUGAAGAACUAACGGAAGCUGAGGUAAUUUGUAUAUUAAAAACUUAUCAUUCUCUCAAUAUGGAUAACUACAGUGAUAUUUGUUUGAGAAAACAUUUAUGGAACUUUUUAA
This is a long non-coding RNA of Limulus polyphemus (Atlantic horseshoe crab), 934 nucleotides long. RefSeq lists it as uncharacterized. NCBI's taxonomy places the organism in Eukaryota, Metazoa, Arthropoda, Merostomata, Xiphosura, Limulidae. The transcript has 3 exons. The record is from RefSeq and is a predicted model, not a curated record.